Molecule: transfer RNA, 71 nt
Filed under: Enchelycore pardalis (leopard moray eel)
Lineage: Eukaryota; Metazoa; Chordata; Actinopteri; Anguilliformes; Muraenidae
Description: tRNA-Tyr
Rfam family: tRNA
About the family: Transfer RNA (tRNA) molecules are approximately 80 nucleotides in length.
Source: RNAcentral
GGUAAGAUGGCCGAGUGCUUAGGCGGUGGGCUGUAGUUCCAUAAACAGGGGUUCAACUCCUCUUCUUAUCA